Molecule: ribosomal RNA, 616 nt
Filed under: Curvularia protuberata
Lineage: Eukaryota; Fungi; Ascomycota; Dothideomycetes; Pleosporales; Pleosporaceae
Description: partial large subunit ribosomal RNA
Rfam family: Eukaryotic large subunit ribosomal RNA
Source: RNAcentral
GNNAGNAGACAACAGGGAUUGCCCUAGUAACGGCGAGUGAAGCGGCAACAGCUCAAAUUUGAAAUCUGGCUCUUUUAGGGUCCGAGUUGUAAUUUGCAGAGGGCGCUUUGGCUUUGGCAGCGGUCCAAGUUCCUUGGAACAGGACGUCACAGAGGGUGAGAAUCCCGUACGUGGUCGCUAGCUAUUGCCGUGUAAAGCCCCUUCGACGAGUCGAGUUGUUUGGGAAUGCAGCUCUAAAUGGGAGGUAAAUUUCUUCUAAAGCUAAAUAUUGGCCAGAGACCGAUAGCGCACAAGUAGAGUGAUCGAAAGAUGAAAAGCACUUUGGAAAGAGAGUCAAACAGCACGUGAAAUUGUUGAAAGGGAAGCGCUUGCAGCCAGACUUGCUUGCAGUUGCUCAUCCGGGCUUUUGCCCGGUGCACUCUUCUGUAGGCAGGCCAGCAUCAGUUUGGGCGGUGGGAUAAAGGUCUCUGACACGUUCCUUCCUUCGGGUUGGCCAUAUAGGGGAGACGUCAUACCACCAGCCUGGACUGAGGUCCGCGCAUCUGCUAGGAUGCUGGCGUAAUGGCUGUAAGCGGCCCGUCUUGAAACACGGACCAAGGAGUCUAACAUCUAUGCG